UUUCAAAUAAAUGCAACAUUCAAUUUUUUAAUUAAACAUGUUUGUUUACAUUUUCAGCUCCUCGACCUAAACUCACAGUGAAUCCACGGGUGAUCACAGAGACAGACUCAGUCACAUUAGACUGUCAGAUUCCAUCGUCUGUUUCUGUGUCUGAGUGUUACUUCAGCAUUUCAAGAAAACCUGCAGAAAAGUUUUCUUGUCUGAAGACAGUGACAGGAACUGAACUGCUGUCGUUGGUACAAAAAAGUCCACCUGCUACAGUUGAAGUGACGUGUUUUUACCUGAAGACACAUCAAUCUCCACACAGUAACAUGGCCUCUGUCUCCAUAGAGACUCCUCCACCUGAACUCAGAGUGAAUCCAGCAUCAGUCACAGAGACAGACUCUGUUGCAGUGAACUGUGUGACUCCACCAUCAGUGUCUGUGUCUGACUGUUAUUUAUACUCUCUGAGUACAAAAAACUGCCAAAGUCAUCUCUUGUCUGCAGACACUGACAGGAACUGAGCUUCUGUCGAUGGCGCAUCAAAGUUCACCUGCUGAGGUUGAAGUAACAUGUUUUUACACCAUAGGACAUUAUCAGUCUCCACACAGUCACAAAUCCACUAUUAGGAUUGAUGUCAAAUCCACUACAACUCAGAUGACAACUUUCAGGACGACUACAGGUUUGAUUCCCAGUACACCAACUGAACCUGUUAGUUCACUUUCUACUUCUGUGACAACAGUGGAAUCAGCAUCAGAAACGGCUUCUGAAGGGACUGAUGAAGCUACGACAGACACUUUGACUUCUGCUCGGCUUUCUGUGACCCCAGCAAACUCAUCUCCAGGCACAGCUUUCACUGCUGCAGGUGGUCUGAACUUUGCUGACACAACUCUGAUCAAUCCAGCCUCUGAUGAUAAAAUAACAGGGAGGAUUUUAUGGGUAACUGGUGCAGCUGUUACUUCAGGAGUCUUCUUGUUUGGAUUUGUGCUUCUCUUUA
Long non-coding RNA from Acanthochromis polyacanthus (spiny chromis), 976 nucleotides. RefSeq lists it as uncharacterized. NCBI's taxonomy places the organism in Eukaryota, Metazoa, Chordata, Actinopteri, Pomacentridae. The record is from RefSeq and is a predicted model, not a curated record. The transcript is spliced from 7 exons.